This 274-nucleotide ribosomal RNA is filed under the name uncultured bacterium. RNAcentral's name for it is "partial 16S ribosomal RNA". It matches the Rfam family "Bacterial small subunit ribosomal RNA", at positions 523 to 796 of the family's 1533-position model. The record is from RNAcentral.
AUACGGAGGGUGCAAGCGUUGUUCGGAAUCACUGGGCGUAAAGGGCGCGCAGGCGGUUUGGUAAGUCAGAUGUGAAAGCCCACGGCUCAACCGUGGAAGUGCAUUUGAAACUGCCAGACUUGAGUACCAGAGGGGAAAGUGGAAUUCCCGGUGUAGAGGUGAAAUUCGUAGAUAUCGGGAGGAAUACCGGUGGCGAAGGCGACUUUCUGGCUAGAUACUGACGCUGAGGCGCGAAAGCGUGGGGAGCAAACAGGAUUAGAAACCCUAGUAGUCC